CCUACGGGAGGCAGCAGUGGGGAAUAUUGGGCAAUGGGCGCAAGCCUGACCCAGCAACGCCGCGUGAAGGAAGAAGGCUUUCGGGUUGUAAACUUCUUUUAAGAGGGAAGAGCAGAAGACGGUACCUCUUGAAUAAGCCACGGCUAACUACGUGCCAGCAGCCGCGGUAAUACGUAGGUGGCAAGCGUUGUCCGGAUUUACUGGGGGUAAAGGGCGUGCAGCCGGGAAGACAAGUCAGAUGUGAAAUCCCGCGGCUCAACCGCGGAACUGCAUUUGAAACUGUUUUUCUUGAGUACCGGAGAGGUCAUCGGAAUGCCUGGUGUAGCGGUGAAAUGCGUAGAGAUAAGGAAGAACACCAGUGGCGAAGGCGGAUGACUGGACGGCAACUGACGGUGAGGCGCGAAAGCGUGGGGAGCAAACAGGAUUAGAUACCCUAGUAGUC
This 442-nucleotide ribosomal RNA is filed under the name uncultured bacterium. RNAcentral's name for it is "partial 16S ribosomal RNA". It matches the Rfam family "Bacterial small subunit ribosomal RNA", at positions 338 to 795 of the family's 1533-position model. The record is from RNAcentral.